RNAcentral lists this ribosomal RNA (253 nucleotides) under uncultured bacterium. RNAcentral describes it as "partial 16S ribosomal RNA". It matches the Rfam family "Bacterial small subunit ribosomal RNA", at positions 524 to 776 of the family's 1533-position model. The record is from RNAcentral.
UACGUAGGUGGCAAGCGUUGUCCGGAUUUACUGGGCGUAAAGAGCGCGCAGGCGGUCGAAUAAGUCGAAUGUGAAAGCCCCCGGCUCAACUGGGGAGGGUCAUUCGAUACUGCUCGACUUGAAGGCAGGAGAGGGUAGUGGAAUUCCCGGUGUAGUGGUGAAAUGCGUAGAUAUCGGGAGGAACACCAGUGGCGAAGGCGGGUUGCUGGGCUGACACUGACGCUGAUGCGCGAAAGCCAGGGGAGCGAACGGG